GGGGCUGAUUCUGGAUUCGACGGGAUUUGCGAAACCCAAGGUGCAUGCCGAGGGGCGGUUGGCCUCGUAAAAAGCCGCAAAAAAUAGUCGCAAACGACGAAAACUACGCUUUAGCAGCUUAAUAACCUGCUUAGAGCCCUCUCUCCCUAGCCUCCGCUCUUAGGACGGGGAUCAAGAGAGGUCCAACCCAAAAGAGAUCGCGUGGAAGCCCUGCCUGGGGUUGAAGCGUUAAAACUUAAUCAGGCUAGUUUGUUAGUGGCGUGUCCGUCCGCAGCUGGCAAGCGAAUGUAAAGACUGACUAAGCAUGUAGUACCGAGGAUGUAGGAAUUUCGGACGCGGGUUCAACUCCCGCCAGCUCCACCA
RNAcentral lists this transfer-messenger RNA (363 nucleotides) under Escherichia coli. It matches the Rfam family "transfer-messenger RNA". From Rfam's summary of the family: Bacterial tmRNA, also known as 10Sa RNA or SsrA, is named for its dual tRNA and mRNA-like properties. Its role is to liberate the mRNA from a stalled ribosome. The record is from RNAcentral. RNAcentral also lists the same sequence under 1 other name. Lineage: Bacteria; Pseudomonadati; Pseudomonadota; Gammaproteobacteria; Enterobacterales; Enterobacteriaceae.